This is a long non-coding RNA of Pan troglodytes (chimpanzee), 722 nucleotides long. RefSeq lists it as uncharacterized. NCBI's taxonomy places the organism in Eukaryota, Metazoa, Chordata, Mammalia, Primates, Hominidae. The transcript has 2 exons. The record is from RefSeq and is a predicted model, not a curated record.
GCCUUAACUGAUGACAUUCCACCACAAAAGAAGUGAAAAUGGCCUGUUCCUGCCUUAACUGAUAACAUUGUCUUAUGAAAUUCCUUCUCCUGGCUCACCCUGGCUCAAAAGCUCCCCUACUGAGCACCUUGUGACCCCCAUUCUGCCCGCCAGAGAACAACUCCCCUUUGACAGUAAUUUUCCUUUACCUACCCAAAUCCUAUAAAACGGCCCCACCCCAUCUCCCUUCACUGACUCUCUUUUCGGACUCAGCCCACCUGCACCCAGGUGAUUAAAAGCUUUGUUGCUCACACGAAGCCUGUUUGGUGGUCUCUUCACACGGACGUGCAUGAAAUUUGGUGCCGUGACUCAGAUCCGGGGACUUCCCUUGGGAGAUCAAUCCCCUGUCCUGCUCUUUGCUCUGUGAAAAAGAUCCACCUACGACCUCAGGUCCUCAGACCAAGCAGCCCAAGGAACAUCUCACCAAUUUUAAAUCAGGCCCUGCACUCCAUGGGAUCAGCUGACACCACACAGACCAGUAAUCUGGCCCAACCAGUUCUGCCAUCUCACCCAGGAACAGAAGACAUUAAGAAAAUCUAACUUCGACCCUCUAUGAUUCCAUCUCCAACCUGAGCAAUCAGCACUCCCCACUUCCCAAGCCCCUACCUGCCAAAUUAUCUUUAAAAACUCUGAUUCACGGAGGCUCAAGGAUUUAAGUAAUAAUAAAACUCCAGUCUCCCGCA